RNAcentral lists this ribosomal RNA (492 nucleotides) under uncultured bacterium. RNAcentral's name for it is "partial 16S ribosomal RNA". It matches the Rfam family "Bacterial small subunit ribosomal RNA", at positions 28 to 507 of the family's 1533-position model. The record is from RNAcentral.
GGUGAACGCUGGCGGUAGGCCUAACACAUGCAAGUCGAACGGCAGCACAGUAAGAGCUUGCUCUUACGGGUGGCGAGUGGCGGACGGGUGAGGAAUACAUCGGAAUCUACUUUUUCGUGGGGGAUAACGUAGGGAAACUUACGCUAAUACCGCAUACGACCUACGGGUGAAAGCAGGGGAUCUUCGGACCUUGCGCGAUUGAAUGAGCCGAUGUCGGAUUAGCUAGUUGGCGGGGUAAAGGCCCACCAAGGCGACGAUCCGUAGCUGGUCUGAGAGGAUGAUCAGCCACACUGGAACUGAGACACGGUCCAGACUCCUACGGGAGGCAGCAGUGGGGAAUAUUGGACAAUGGGCGCAAGCCUGAUCCAGCCAUACCGCGUGGGUGAAGAAGGCCUUCGGGUUGUAAAGCCCUUUUGUUGGGAAAGAAAAGCAGCAGGUUAAUACCCCGCUGUUCUGACGGUACCCGAAGAAUAAGCACCGGCUAACUUCGUG